GUGGGGAAUCUUCCGCAAUGGACGAAAGUCUGACGGAGCAACGCCGCGUGAGUGAAGAAGGUUUUCGGAUCGUAAAGCUCUUUCGUUAGGGACGAACGUGCUCUUUGUGAAUAAUGAGGAGUAAUGACGGUACCUAAAUAAGAAGCCACGGCUAACUACGUGCCAGCAGCCGCGGUAAUACGUAGGUGGCAAGCGUUGUCCGGAAUUAUUGGGCGUAAAGCGCGCGCAGGCGGGAUAUCAAGUCUGUCUUAAAAGUGCGAGGCUCAACCUCGUGAGGGGACAGAAACUGGUAUUCUUGAGUGUCGGAGAGGAAAGUGGAAUUCCAAGUGUAGCGGUGAAAUGCGUAGAGAUUUGGAAGAACACCAGUGGCGAAGGCGACUUUCUGGACGAUGUCUGACGCUGAGGCACGAAAGCUAGGGGAGCGAACGGGAUUAGAAACCCUUGUAGUCC
Molecule: ribosomal RNA, 450 nt
Filed under: uncultured bacterium
Lineage: Bacteria
Description: partial 16S ribosomal RNA
Rfam family: Bacterial small subunit ribosomal RNA
Source: RNAcentral